AAAGAUUAAGCCAUGCAUGUAUAAGUAUAAACGAUUUUAUCGUGAAACCGCGAACGGCUCAUUAUAACAGCUAUAAUUUACUUGAUCUUGACUUCCUACUUGGAUAACUGUGGUAAUUCUAGAGCUAAUACAUGCACCAAAGCUCCGACCUUACGGGAAGAGCGCAUUUAUUCGAACAAAACCAAGCGGCUUCGGCCGUUCGCAGUUGACUCAGAAUAACUAAGCUGAUCGCAUGGUCUUGAACCGGCGACGUGUCUUUCAAGUAUCUGCCUUAUCAACUUUCGAUGGUAGUGUAUCUGACUACCAUGGUGGUGACGGGUAACGGAGGAUAAGGGUUCGACUCCGGAGAAGGGGCCUGAGAAAUGGCCACUACGUCUAAGGAUGGCAGCAGGCGCGCAAAUUACCCACUCUCAGAAUGAGGAGGUAGUGACGAGAAAUAACGAGACCGUUCUCUACGAGGCCGGUCAUCGGAAUGGGUACAAUUUAAACCCUUUAACGAGUAUCUAUGAGAGGGCAAGUCUGGUGCCAGCAGCCGCGGUAAUUCCAGCUCUCAAAAUGCAUAGAAUUAUUGCUGCGGUUAAAAAGCUCGUAGUUGGAUCUGUGCCGUUGGACCCGGUCCACCUUAACGGGUGCGCACUGGGCUCCCCGGCUUUCUGCCGGUUUUCCUGUCGUGGCCUUAACUGGUUGCGGCGGGUGGCUGGCGAUUUUACUUUGAACAAAUCAGAGUGCUUAAAACAGGCGUUUCGCUUGAAUGUUCGUGCAUGGAAUAAUAGAAAAGGAUUUCGGUUCUAUUUUAUUGGUUUUAUAGACUGAGAUAAUGGUUAACAGAGACAAACGGGGGCAUUCGUAUUGCUGCGUGAGAGGUGAAAUUCUUGGACCGCAGCAAGACGAACUACAGCGAAAGCAUUUGCCAAGAAUG
This 919-nucleotide ribosomal RNA is filed under the name Pratylenchoides sp. PrChSp1. Its description in RNAcentral is "SSU rRNA". It matches the Rfam family "Eukaryotic small subunit ribosomal RNA", at positions 39 to 966 of the family's 1831-position model. Lineage: Eukaryota; Metazoa; Nematoda; Chromadorea; Rhabditida; Merliniidae. The record is from RNAcentral.